This 394-nucleotide ribosomal RNA is filed under the name Stramenopiles sp. MAST-1C. RNAcentral's name for it is "partial small subunit ribosomal RNA". It matches the Rfam family "Eukaryotic small subunit ribosomal RNA", at positions 582 to 975 of the family's 1831-position model. The record is from RNAcentral.
AUUCCAGCUCCAAUGGCGUAUAUUAAAGUUGUUGCAGUUAAAAAGCUCGUAGUUGGAUUUCUGGUGGGAGUGAUCGGUCUGCCCCGUUAGGGGUGUGUACUAGUGUCGUCUCUUGCCAUCCUUGUGGGAACUGCUCUGGCAUUAAGUUGUCGGGGUUAGGGAACACAUCGUUUACUGUGAAAAAAUUAGAGUGUUUAAAGCAGGCUUAUGCCGUUGAAUACAUUAGCAUGGAAUAAUAAGAUAGGACUUUGGCGUCUAUUUUGUUGGUUUGCACACCAAGGUAAUGAUUAAUAGGGAUAGUUGGGGGUAUUCGUAUUUAAUUGUCAGAGGUGAAAUUCUUGGAUUUAUGAAAGACGAACUUCUGCGAAAGCAUUUACCAAAGAUGUUUUCAUCA